RNAcentral lists this ribosomal RNA (587 nucleotides) under uncultured bacterium. RNAcentral's name for it is "partial 16S ribosomal RNA". It matches the Rfam family "Bacterial small subunit ribosomal RNA", at positions 355 to 1375 of the family's 1533-position model. The record is from RNAcentral.
UGGGGAAUUUUGGACAAUGGGCGAAAGCCUGAUCCAGCAAUGCCGCGUGUGUGAAGAAGGCCUUCGGGUUGUAAAGCACUUUUGUCCGGAAAGAAAUCCUUGGCUCUAAUACAGUCGGGGGAUGACGGUACCGGAAGAAUAAGCACCGGCUAACUACGUGCCAGCAGCCGCGGUAAUACGUAGGGUGCAAGCGUUAAUCGGAAUUACUGGGCGUAAAGCGUGCGCAGGCGGUUUGCUAAGACCGAUGUGAAAUCCCCGGGCUCAACCUGGGAACUGCAUUGGUGACUGGCAGGCUAGAGUAUGGCAGAGGGGGGUAGAAUUCCACGUGUAGCAGUGAAAUGCGUAGAGAUGUGGAGGAAUACCGAUGGCGAAGGCAGCCCCCUGGGCCAAUACUGACGCUCAUGCACGAAAGCGUGGGGAGCAAACAGGAUUAGAUACCCUGGUAGUCCACGCCCUAAACGAUGUCAACUAGUUGUUGGGGGAUUCAUUUCCUUAGUAACGUAGCUAACGCGUGAAGUUGACCGCCUGGGGAGUACGGUCGCAAGAUUAAAACUUCAAAGGAAUUGACGGGGUCAUAGCUGUUUCCU